GAGCCAUUGCAUAUUUGAAUGGGACGCCGGUGUGAGAAGCACGGCGCCCGAUCCUAUAGAUGCUGCGGUGCUUCGAGCUCUCCGCGAGUUGAAGCAGGGCUGAUCGCUUGGGCAAAGGACUGCAGGAAGAAGUAAAGGCUGCAGGAUCUGCCCCUAAGAUUUAUUAAAAGAAGAAGUCACCUCUCUCUCCCCGACUGCGAAAACAGCCUUUCCCACAGCGGAGGGACAUUCAAGGUAGACAGAGAGACCUUCACUUCUUCUGCAUUGAUGCAAAUGCACCGAUGUUUUCUGUGACUACGGGUACUGUUUCAUCCUGAUGUGCUGAGAGAUGCAUGCUUUCACCGCCGCAUCUGACAAAAGAACCGCAGUAAGAAAGCAAUGAAGAACUUCCUACGUGAAGUAAACUGUUCAUUGCGAGUUUGAGAGGAUGUUUCCGUGAAUCCGGCUGAAUUAAUGUGUUUUCUUGGGGAGCUGCACCUAGACUGAGGACAGCCAGGAGAGCUGGAUCUUGUACAGAGGAGGCACAGCAAACUGGUGUGAUGCUGGGGAGGGGAGCCCUGUGGAAACUCUGAUGUGAGCAAAAGAGUAUGUUGCAACGAUGCCUGAUUAGUUCAUCAGGAGCCAGUGUGAGUCUGGAACAUCUAGCACCGAGUAGGAGCCUGGAUGCGGUCCAGCUGCUUUCUUGCCCUAUAGAACUGAAGCGAUAAGUCUUGCUCAACCAGAUCCGUGCCUGUUUGGGUGUGUCUACACUGUGUUCCUGUUAUCAGGAGUGCUGAGGAACCCAGCACAGCCAGCGUCCUCGCGGAGGCCUGACUCUGCGUCAGUGGGGUUGGUGCUGAACUGGCGGUACUGAUUCAGCCUGGAUACUGCAGCACUGUUCGAGGCCUGCGUGCUGUGCUCCCUGGUGCACAGAGAUGAGCUCAGCUACAGCCCUGGAUCCAGGCUGGAUUUGUACCGUGCCCAACUGAGGGCUCGGAUUGAGUUCAGUCUGGGGUUAAUAGCACCAACUCCAUCCCAGAGCCUCUCAAAUCCAUCUGGACUUUGCUGCCUAGCUCUCCUGGGAGCACGGCAUAGGGGUAGCUGGGCAAGCUCUGUGAAAUGCAUUCAUAUUCCAGGCUGCAUGCAAGUACUUGUAUGGCUGUGAAUCUGCAGUGGCCUGGGAUGCAGCCUGAGCUAAUGAACUCAAUCAGACCUGAAUUGGCUCUGCAUGGAGCUCACCCUGGUGCCUCUGUUGCUUCAGCAUUCUUGCUCUGCAACUCAUCACCUGUGCUGUAUCUGCAGAUUGACUUUAUCUGGUGUUGUAUGUGUAGAUGCAUAAGCUAAAAUGUGGUUGGGCAGAAAAUAUCCCUAAAAGCAUGAAGAGGAAAAUUUAGAGAGAGAUAUUGAGUAACACAAGGGGAUUGCGUUUAAGACUAGGUCCGUACCCUGACACUUUGUUGUUAAUUUUUCUUAGGGGCAAGGGAGCAGAUCCAUGGGAGCAUGGGAUUUACUAUAGGAAAAACUGACUGUAGUACUAAACUUUAACUAUGCUUGUGUGUUCCCUCUUUUAGGGUUUGUAAUAGUCAGAUAUUUGUGUUCUUUUCCAUUGCAUGCUACAGUUCUGAUCUAGCAAAACGUUCAAAUUAUGUUCUUUAGAGCUUUACUGGAUCAGGGCCAUUGUCAGUACUUCCAAAAAGUAAAGCCUAAAACAUUCUCCGAAAUCUUUGGCUAGAGAUUGUCUAGCAUUAUUCCUUACCCAUAAAGAUCUUCUCUGGACCCUCCCAUAGGAACUGAAAUAGCAAAUGUCAUGUAUGCAGCCUUGGCAGUCAGUUUUGAACUUGGAGGACUUCUUUUGGUGAAGUAGUGUGGGCCAACAUGCUUAUGAGAUAUGUUCAAAGCUUUUUAUGCUUUUUUCAUCCACUUGAAAUACAAACAAACAAUUCCCAUUUUCCAAAACAGGACUAGCUGUAUAUUGUGAUGAUGGCAGCAAGUUGAUAAAGAAAUAUGGGAAACAUAUUCUUCAGUUGCCUGUACAGCA
Long non-coding RNA from Tyto alba (common barn owl), 2017 nucleotides. RefSeq lists it as uncharacterized. NCBI's taxonomy places the organism in Eukaryota, Metazoa, Chordata, Aves, Strigiformes, Tytonidae. The transcript is spliced from 5 exons. The record is from RefSeq and is a predicted model, not a curated record.